UCAGUGACGCUUCAGCUGUGUCCUGAAGGAUGAGUAACAAGUCAAGGGGAUGAGAAGGGCGUACCAGGCAAAGGUAGCAGCGUGUGCAAAGGCACGGACGUGUGAGAGAACGUGGCACGUUCUGGUCCAACCUUCUUUGUUAUGGAUGAGGAACCCGAACUUCAGAAAAGUAAGACUCCUGAACGUAUACAGAAACAGAGACAUGGAAAUAAAUUCUGCUCUUGGAGGCCACGUGACUGGUACUCAGCGACUCAGCACCCCAGCCGGAAGGGACAGAAUCAUGCUGCUGACUUCCAGUGCAAACACAUUGUUGUAUGGCCAGCACUGGAGGAUGCUGGGAGAAGAAACAUUCUUACAGGAACAGUUGCUUUCCUGGAAAGGUUAGCUCGCCUGGCUGGGGUUGAGCCAGAAAAGCUGACUCUCACCCUAGCAAGUUCUCUAUCACUCCAAGGCCCUGGAUACUCCAAGAAGACCACCCAACACCAGGCAGCCUCCUUCUGUACCAGCCUCUGGCUUCUUGCCAGUUUGGAGGCUCAUAAUCCAACCAGUUGGUAUGCACCGCUUUCCACCACCUGUCGGUUCUCAGAGAUCUGGUGCAGCUCUCUUCUUUGA
RNAcentral lists this long non-coding RNA (612 nucleotides) under Sus scrofa (pig). RNAcentral describes it as "lncRNA (ENSSSCG00070006359.1)". The record is from RNAcentral. Lineage: Eukaryota; Metazoa; Chordata; Mammalia; Artiodactyla; Suidae.